This 1027-nucleotide long non-coding RNA is filed under the name Phasianus colchicus (ring-necked pheasant). RNAcentral's name for it is "lncRNA (ENSPCLG00000016175.1)". Lineage: Eukaryota; Metazoa; Chordata; Aves; Galliformes; Phasianidae. The record is from RNAcentral.
GUAUGAACCUACAAUCAACCCUGUCCUUUUGUGUCCCCAAGAUAUGCUUUUUGAGGGCAGGACAUGUGCACAUCCACAAACCCAAACAUAGCUGUCAAGCAUCUCCAGUCCCAAUCUCACAGGAGACAGCUCGUAGGAACACCAUGGGGCUUACAAAGGAUUUUCAGGCCCAGAAACCAGUGUUAUAAAUAUAUAUUUAUGAAACACCAGAGCUAUAAUCAAAUGUAUACAAGAACUAGAACUUAAGAACUCAGUGAACUGAGACAACUGAGAGUUUAAAGCAUCAGUAGAAAAUUUCACUGGAUGUUUAUCAGUCAGCAAUAUUGAUGAAAUACUUGAAUGAUUCCUACAUCUAACUUAUGGAGUACAUGAAGCUGCAGCAAGGCUUAAUUUUGUGCAGGAAUGCCAACCCAAUUCCUUCUACCAACCCUCUCUAUGAAGAGGAGUGAUCGGGCAAAUCUCUUGAGAAAAGGAGACCUAACAACUCCUUACCCAUAUUGCCAUGGAGACACCCACACAAACAGAGCACCUCCUUCUUCCAGAGUCUCCAGUCAUUCCCGGCUCCAGGGCCAUACAGUGAGAGACGGAGCACACCAGAAGUUCAGGCUUCCUAAGCUAGAACUGCUAACUGCUUCCUACAGAGGAACAACAGAAGAACCACUGCACAAAGCAAUUAAGAGACAAGAAUGACCUUCAAGGAAGAGGAAAUUCAAAGUUUCCUAUCACCCAUUGUGUUCUACAGGAAGAAGGACACACCUGAUGGCAACCAGAUGGGAAUUUCUGGUCAGUCAGUCAGUUUGGUGUCCUGGAGAGAGAAAAAAAUGUUCCAUGAAGAAAUCACUUUGAAGCUGAAUUUUUCACUGCUGCAGUACUUGGGACACUCAUUUUUUUCCAGCCUUUCUCUAACUCUUGUUAUCACUGCUGCUGACUCAUCUCCUGAUGCUGAAGGAAAAACAGUUUUAUGGGAACAUGAAGAGGUCACCACUGAAUUAUCUUUGGCUGUUAUAAAUGGCUCUGCAAAUCAUUC